AUGUCAACAGAAAGAUACUAUGAUUCACAAGUUUUUAGGGGAAGUAAAGAUGGAAAGAGGAAGGUGGCAUGGGUUUAAUGGGAUGAUCUAGCUAUGCCGAAAUAUUUGGACGGUCUUAACUUCAGGGACACUCAGCUCUUUAAUCUAGCUAUGAUAACUAAGCAGGCAUGGCGAUUAGUCCAAGAUGAAACUUCAUGAAGUGCAAGAAUACUCAAGGCAGUAUACUAUCCUAUGCGAGAUGUGCUAAGUGUCAAGCUGGGAUCUCACCCAUCUCACGUUAGGUAGACUUUAAUUGAAGGGAUCUCAGUGUUGAAGCAGGGCUUGAUCGGGCGCAUAGGGAAUGGGCUCUCGACGAGAAUUUGGGAUGAUAAUUGGCUUACACGUGACAAUAUGUCGAGGGCUCUCCAUCCUCGGUUUGAUGACACCUCCAUGAUGGUGGCAUAA
This 444-nucleotide ribosomal RNA is filed under the name Triticum aestivum (bread wheat). RNAcentral describes it as "partial small subunit ribosomal RNA". The record is from RNAcentral. Lineage: Eukaryota; Viridiplantae; Streptophyta; Magnoliopsida; Poales; Poaceae.